This 450-nucleotide ribosomal RNA is filed under the name uncultured bacterium. RNAcentral describes it as "bacterial SSU rRNA". It matches the Rfam family "Bacterial small subunit ribosomal RNA", at positions 355 to 796 of the family's 1533-position model. The record is from RNAcentral.
UAGGGAAUUGUUCGCAAUGGGCGCAAGCCUGACGACGCAACGCCGCGUGGAGGAUGAAGGUCUUCGGAUUGUAAACUCCUGUCGUGUGGGACGAACAUUUGCUUUUCUAAUACAAGAGCAGACUGACGGUACCACGAAAGGAAGCCCCGGCUAACUCUGUGCCAGCAGCCGCGGUAAUACAGAGGGGGCGAGCGUUGUUCGGAAUUACUGGGCGUAAAGGGCGCGUAGGCGGCCUGCUAAGUCAUACGUGAAAUCCCUCGGCUCAACCGGGGAACUGCGUGUGAUACUGGCGGGCUUGAAUUCGGGAGAGGGAUGCGGAAUUCCAGGUGUAGCGGUGAAAUGCGUAGAUAUCUGGAGGAACACCGGUGGCGAAGGCGGCAUCCUGGACCGAGAUUGACGCUGAUGCGCGAAAGCCAGGGGAGCAAACGGGAUUAGAUACCCGCGUAGUCC